AAAGCGUUGUCUGUGAGAAUGAGACAAAUAGUUAUGUCUCUCCCUUAUAUUUUCAAGUUUCAACUUUCUAUUUCCUUCAAGUAAGAUUUGGAAUUGAUUGUUAGCCAAGUUAACUUAGAUCUUGUUUCUUCGGUGAUGGAUCUGUGAGAGUAAACGAAGAGGAACAAAAAGGAUUUUCUUUUGGAAAAUACAAUAUUCAUGACUUACGUAGUAAGAAGGGAGUUUACUGGUUACUGGAUGUUUAAAAGCUAGAUGCACUAAAGAGCCUUUCUCAAACAUGUUGAUGUCCUUGAGUUUCAUAGUAAAGUCAGAGGUGUUGUUUACAAGCUCUUGGAUGGUUUCCUAACGGCUCAGACCAAUUAUCAAGCAGUGCUAGUUGUCAUGAUUUGACUUAUUGAGUUAACCAUGGUCCCCUUUAGGAGAUGGUUCCUGGUUGGUGAGUAUGGGCUGAAGAUCACUAUGUUGUGCUCAUAAUGAUUAUGAACCUCCAGUCAAAGUGGUCAUGCUUGGCAAGCUCCAGCCACUCGUGAACAUUUGAAGCAGUCGUCAGUAUGAGCUCCAUCAGCUCAUGAACGCUCGAAGUGGUCAUCUCUUGGAAUUCAGCAAUACGAGCUCCAUUCAUAAUUGGACAAGCACUUUAUGUGAUUGUUGUCAUGCAGACCAAUCAGAU
This 670-nucleotide unclassified non-coding RNA is filed under the name Hevea brasiliensis (rubber tree). Lineage: Eukaryota; Viridiplantae; Streptophyta; Magnoliopsida; Malpighiales; Euphorbiaceae. The record is from RNAcentral.